Molecule: ribosomal RNA, 440 nt
Filed under: uncultured bacterium
Lineage: Bacteria
Description: partial 16S ribosomal RNA
Rfam family: Bacterial small subunit ribosomal RNA
Source: RNAcentral
CCUACGGGAGGCAGCAGUGGGGAAUAUUGCACAAUGGGGGAAACCCUGAUGCAGCGACGCCGCGUGAGUGAAGAAGUAUUUCGGUACGUAAAGCUCUAUCAGCAGGGAAGAAAAUGACGGUACCUGACUAAGAAUCCCCGGCUAACUACGUGCCAGCAGCCGCGGUAAUACGUAGGGGGCAAGCGUUAUCCGGAAUUAAUGGGUGUAAAGGGGGCGUAGACGGCGGGUCAAGUCAGGAGGGAAAUCCCAUGGCUGAACCAUGGAACUGCUUUGGAAACUGUGGCGCAGGAGUGCAGGAGAGGUAAGCGGAAUUCCUAGUGUAGCGGUGAAAUGCGUAGAUAUUAGGAGGAACACCAGUGGCGAAGGCGGCUUACUGGACUGUAACUGACGUUGAGGCUCGAAAGCGUGGGGAGCAAACAGGAUUAGAUACCCGAGUAGUC